RNAcentral lists this small nuclear RNA (317 nucleotides) under Octodon degus (degu). Its description in RNAcentral is "7SK RNA (ENSODEG00000023058.1)". It matches the Rfam family "7SK RNA". Rfam says of the family: 7SK was discovered as an abundant small nuclear RNA in the mid-70s but a possible function has only recently been suggested. Two independent studies have found that 7SK RNA binds the CDK9/cyclin T complex (known as elongation factor P-TEFb). P-TEFb activates transcription by phosphorylating the C-terminal domain of RNA polymerase II. The record is from Rfam by way of RNAcentral. Lineage: Eukaryota; Metazoa; Chordata; Mammalia; Rodentia; Octodontidae.
GGAUGUGAGGACAUAGAGCCACAACUUCUAUCCCUUUUGAUUGCCAGGGUCGGUUAGGCUGAUCCUGCUGGCAACAUGGUGUCCCUUUUUUCCCUCAGGGUCCUAUGUCUUUCCUGGUGUUUAGUGCUUCUUGCAGGAGGGACAUGCCACUUGACAGAGGAGUGCUAUUCUUCUAUCAGUAUUACAUGAAUAGCUGUGCUCCCCUGCUGGCACUGCCAAACCAGUUCUCAAAAUUGUAUGGAUGUUUUUCAUUUGACUAAGCACAUAAAUGAUUUGAAAUCUCUCAAAUGUACAAAAGAAUGUGCAUGCUACAUUUG